This 73-nucleotide transfer RNA is filed under the name Candidatus Woesearchaeota archaeon. RNAcentral describes it as "tRNA-Gln". It matches the Rfam family "tRNA". Rfam says of the family: Transfer RNA (tRNA) molecules are approximately 80 nucleotides in length. The record is from RNAcentral. Lineage: Archaea; Nanobdellati; Candidatus Woesearchaeota.
AGCCCCGUAGUGUAGUGGCCAAUCAUAACGGGUUCUGGCCCCGUUGACCCAGGUUCGAAUCCUGGCGGGGCUA